AUGCAGGGCACCACCGUCCAUGCGGUCGACCCGCCUACCUGCCCUCCGGCCAAGGCGUCAGCGGUGGCAGUGGAAACCUCGGACUGCGGCGGGCCUCGGUGCCAGCCACCGGCUCCGCACGUUCCGGUCCCGGUGUUCCCGUAUGACGUCGACCCGAUGCAGUUCGCGCUGAACCUGGAGUACACCGAGGCUGAGUUCUUCCUCCAUGGAGCGUUCGGUGUAGGGCUCGACCAGAUCGCGCCCAACCUGACGUUGGGAGGGCCGCCUCCGAUGGGCGCCAUGAAAGCCAACCUCGACGAGGUGACAUGGCGCAUCGUCGCGGAGUUUGGCCUUCAAGAAGUCGGCCACAUCAGGGCUAUCCAGAACACAGUUGGUGGGUUCCCUAGGCCAAAGAUAGACCUGAGCGCCAGCAACUUUGCAAGGGUGAUGGACCAAGCAUUUGGUUACCAUUUGGACCCUCCUUUCGACCCCUACAUCGACAGCCCCAACUUCCUGCUGGCGUGCUACGUGAUCCCCUACCUGGGCAUCAACGGCUACACCGGCACCAACCCCAUCAUCGACGGCUACGAGACUAAACACCUUCUUGCAGGGUUGCUAGGCGUGGAGGCGGGGCAGGACGCGGUCUUCCGCGCGCUGCUCUUCGAGCGCAAGAGCGAGACGGUGCCGCCCUACAAGGGGAUCACGGUGGCAGAGUUCACCGACCGCAUCUCCGCGGCGAGAAACCAGCUGGGGAAAUGCGGGGUGAAGGACGAGGGGCUCACCGUGCCGCCCGAGCUUGGCGCAGAGGGCAGGAUCUGCACCAACGUGCUCUCCGCCGACAGGGACUCGCUCUCCUACGCCCGCACGCCGGAGGAGCUGCUCAGCAUCCUGUACCUCACCGGCGACGAGCACGUGCCCGGUGGCUUCUUCCCGGAGGGCGCGAACGGGAAGAUAGCACGGGAGUUUCUUCGCAAGCCGUUUGCAGCUGGGGAUAACAAGGCGCCAGCAAAUUAA
This 993-nucleotide ribosomal RNA is filed under the name Triticum aestivum (bread wheat). RNAcentral describes it as "partial small subunit ribosomal RNA". Lineage: Eukaryota; Viridiplantae; Streptophyta; Magnoliopsida; Poales; Poaceae. The record is from RNAcentral.